Thalassophryne amazonica is the source of this 131-nucleotide long non-coding RNA. RefSeq lists it as uncharacterized. Lineage: Eukaryota; Metazoa; Chordata; Actinopteri; Batrachoidiformes; Batrachoididae. The record is from RefSeq and is a predicted model, not a curated record. The transcript is spliced from 3 exons.
AUCACAUUGCAAAAUGUGUUCCCUGUCAGUACAGCUGUCCCUCUGAGUGGCUGAGGACAUGGAUUUUAUUCCCCUCCAAGCUGCCCGUAGAUCACCACUACUGUACUUCCAUUCCACUUUAUCCUUAUACU